This 372-nucleotide ribosomal RNA is filed under the name uncultured organism. RNAcentral describes it as "bacterial SSU rRNA". It matches the Rfam family "Bacterial small subunit ribosomal RNA", at positions 526 to 896 of the family's 1533-position model. The record is from RNAcentral.
CAGAGGGUGCAAGCGUUGUUCGGAAUUAUUGGGCGUAAAGCGCGUGUAGGCGGCUUUGCAAGUCGGGUGUGAAAGCCCUCAGCUUAACUGAGGAAGUGCGCCCGAAACUGCUUGGCUUGAGUACCGGAGAGGAUGGCGGAAUUCCCCAAGUAGAGGUGAAAUUCGUAGAUAUGGGGAGGAACACCGGUGGCGAAGGCGGCCAUCUGGACGGAUACUGACGCUGAGACGCGAAAGCGUGGGUAGCAAACAGGAUUAGAUACCCUGGUAGUCCACGCCGUAAACGAUGAGAACUAGGUGUCGUGGGUGUUGACCCCCGCGGUGCCGCAGCUAACGCAUUAAGUUUUCCGCCUGGGAAGUACGGCCGCAAGGCUA